UGGGGAAUAUUGCGCAAUGGGGGCAACCCUGACGCAGCAACGCCGCGUGAUUGAAGAAGGCCUUCGGGUUGUAAAGAUCUUUAAUCAGGGACGAAGAAUGACGGUACCUGAAGAAUAAGCUCCGGCUAACUACGUGCCAGCAGCCGCGGUAAUACGUAGGGAGCAAGCGUUAUCCGGAUUUACUGGGUGUAAAGGGCGCGCAGGCGGGCCGGCAAGUUGGGAGUGAAAUCCCGGGGCUUAACCCCGGAACUGCUUUCAAAACUGCUGGUCUUGAGUGAUGGAGAGGCAGGCGGAAUUCCGUGUGUAGCGGUGAAAUGCGUAGAUAUACGGAGGAACACCAGUGGCGAAGGCGGCCUGCUGGACAUUAACUGACGCUGAGGCGCGAAAGCGUGGGGAGCAAACAGG
Molecule: ribosomal RNA, 405 nt
Filed under: uncultured Eubacterium sp.
Lineage: Bacteria; Bacillati; Bacillota; Clostridia; Eubacteriales; Eubacteriaceae
Description: bacterial SSU rRNA
Rfam family: Bacterial small subunit ribosomal RNA
Source: RNAcentral